Molecule: ribosomal RNA, 772 nt
Filed under: Streptococcus anginosus
Lineage: Bacteria; Bacillati; Bacillota; Bacilli; Lactobacillales; Streptococcaceae
Description: bacterial SSU rRNA
Rfam family: Bacterial small subunit ribosomal RNA
Source: RNAcentral
GACGAACGCGGGCGGCGUGCCUAAUACAUGCAAGUAGGACGCACAGUUUAUACCGUAGCUUGCUACACCAUAGACUUGAGUUGCGAACGGGUGAGUAACGCGUAGGUAACCUGCCUAUUAGAGGGGGAUAACUAUUGGAAACGAUAGCUAAUACCGCAUAACAGUAUGUAACACAUGUUAGAUGCUUGAAAAGAUGCAAUGCAUCGCUAGUAGAUGGACCUGCGUUGUAUUAGCUAGUAGGUAGGGUAAUGGCCUACCUAGGCGACGAUACAUAGCCGACCUGAGAGGGUGAUCGGCCACACUGGGACUGAGACACGGCCCAGACUCCUACGGGAGGCAGCAGUAGGGAAUCUUCGGCAAUGGGGGGAACCCUGACCGAGCAACGCCGCGUGAGUGAAGAAGGUUUUCGGAUCGUAAAGCUCUGUUGUUAAGGAAGAACGAGUGUGAGAAUGGAAAGUUCAUACUGUGACGGUACUUAACCAGAAAGGGACGGCUAACUACGUGCCAGCAGCCGCGGUAAUACGUAGGUCCCGAGCGUUGUCCGGAUUUAUUGGGCGUAAAGCGAGCGCAGGCGGUUAGAAAAGUCUGAAGUGAAAGGCAGUGGCUCAACCAUUGUAGGCUUUGGAAACUGUUUAACUUGAGUGCAGAAGGGGAGAGUGGAAUUCCAUGUGUAGCGGUGAAAUGCGUAGAUAUAUGGAGGAACACCGGUGGCGAAAGCGGCUCUCUGGUCUGUAACUGACGCUGAGGCUCGAAAGCGUGGGGAGCGAACAGG